This is an RNA transcript of Eucalyptus grandis, 1460 nucleotides long. It is a transcript of the gene named dehydration-responsive element-binding protein 3, with no coding region annotated. The record is from RefSeq and is a predicted model, not a curated record. NCBI's taxonomy places the organism in Eukaryota, Viridiplantae, Streptophyta, Magnoliopsida, Myrtales, Myrtaceae. The transcript is spliced from 2 exons.
AGAGAGAGGGAGACCAGCUGGGUGGAAUGCAGAGAGCCAAAGACAAGUGAAACCCUUUGUUGUAGGCGUGUAGACUGCGUGGUUUGCUCGGCACUCUUUUCAACAGUGUCUGCCUUAGCGACCCUCUCGACCCUUGUUAUAAAAGGCGUUGAGCCGCUCACAGGAAAAGGAUGGAAGCAGAUUGAAAGAGAUAGUCCAAGCUCUCUGCCUCUCUCUCUCUCUCUCUCUCUCUUCUCUAUCUUCAUCUUCGUCGUCUUGAUCGCUCUCAUCUCGCUCUCGCGAAUGUUGUCUCUCGUCUUCUCCUCUGUCCGCCAUUCAAAGAUCACCUAUUCUUUCCGUUUGGUUUGCGGUGACUAAGAACUCUUUCUCUCUCUCGCUCUGUGUCACUCUUGCUUUCUCCCGACUUUUCUGGGAUUGAUGAAAAUGGCGGAAAGAUCGAACUCGUCGGACCCGGAAACAAGCCCCUCGAACUCACCCUCCACCUCCUCGUCUUCUUCCUCGUACUCGCCCGACCCGCGCCGCCGGGCCGGCUCGCCCGCCGCGGCCCGCGACCCGUCGAGAUCCUCCAAGCGGAGCAAGCACCCGGUGUACCGCGGGGUCCGGAUGAGGAACUGGGGCAAGUGGGUGUCGGAGAUCCGGGAGCCCCGCAAGAAGUCCCGCAUCUGGCUCGGCACCUUCCCCACCCCGGAGAUGGCCGCCCGCGCCCACGACGUCGCCGCCCUCCACAUUAAGGGCUCCUCCGCCUUCCUCAACUUCCCCCACCUCGCCGCCUCCCUCCCCCGCCCCUCCUCCCUCUCCCCGCGCGACGUCCAGGCCGCGGCCUCCCUCGCCGCCCACAUGCCCGACCACCAAGGAACGGUCGAGACCUUGCGGCCGACAGCGGAGCUCGACUCUCAGCACUCGUCAUUGCCCUCGAGGUCGCUGUCGUCCAUGGUGUCGGCGAUGGACAUAUCGGCGACGGUGGAGCUGAGCGAGAUCGUGGAGCUGCCGAGCCUCGGGGCCAGCUGCGACGAGCUGGGGGCAGCGAGUUCGCCUUCGUCGACUCCGUCGGCGCCGAGUGGGGCUACUGCUACCACGACGACUACCAGCCGACGUGGCCGGAGCACCUCGAGGACUGCGGGCCGUACGACUGCGGCCAUCAGACGGCGGCGCUGCCCGAGAGCGGUGGGUCGCUUUUGUGGGAUUAUGACUGAGCGAGUGGAUUUACUGUUGGUGAGAGAGUUUGUGAAUUUGUGUGAAAAGAAAAUGAUUUUUUCCCUUUUUUAAUGAAUUAUGGUGCUUUUUUUUAUUAUUAUUGUUAUUGUCCUUUUCAUUUUUUUUUUUUUUAUAAGUUUUACCGAGUCCUUUUGGUAUUUUCUUUGAAAGGGCCGGUCAAAGGUGUGGUGUUCCUCUCGCACGCUCGAUCCACUAACGCGUUUGGAUAAAUUUCUGCUGUUUACAGAUUCUCUGUGUUCAUGUGA